GAGAGGGAGCCUGAGAAACGGCUACCACAUCCAAGGAAGGCAGCAGGCGCGCAAAUUACCCACUCCCGGCACGGGGAGGUAGUGACGAAAAAUAACGAUACGGGACUCAUCCGAGGCCCCGUAAUCGGAAUGAGUAUACUCUAAAUCCUUAUACGAGUAUCAAUUGGAGGGCAAGUCUGGUGCCAGCAGCCGCGGUAAUUCCAGCUCCAAUAGCGUAUAUUAAAGUUGUUGCGGUUAAAAAGCUCGUAGUUGGAUCUGUGUCCCGCGCCGUCGGUUCACCGCCUGUCGGUGUUUAACUGGCGUGUAUGCGGGACGUCCUGCCGGUGGCGGUUCGGUGCCCCUGAGGUUCGUAGGGGUCGUCCUUGCAUCGCAUGCGUCGUCCCCGAAGGCCUUUGCGGUGUCUCCGGCCGCCUUUUCGAUCCCGUCGCGGUGCUCUUUACCGAGUGUCGAGGCGGGCCGGCACGUUUACUUUGAACAAAUUAGAGUGCUUUAAGCAGGCCCUGUCCCGCCUGUAUGUUGUGUGCAUGGAAUAAUGGAAUAGGACCUCGGUUCUAUUUUGUUGGUUUUCGGAAUCUGAGGUAAUGAUCAAUGGGGACAGGCGGGGGCAUUCGUAUUGCGACGUUAGAGGUGAAAUUCUUGGAUCGUCGCAAGACGGACCGAAGCGAAAGCAUUUGCCAAGUAUGUUCUCGUCGAUCAAGAACGAAAGUUAGAGGUUCGAAGGCGAUCAGAUACCGCCCUAGUUCUAACCAUAAACUAUGCCUGCCAGCGAUCCGCCGAAGUUCCUCCGAUGACUCGGCGGGCAGCUUCCGGGAAACCAGAGCUUUUGGGUUCCGGGGGAAGUAUGGUUGCAAAGCUGAAACUUAAAGGAAUUGACGGAAGGGCACCACCAGGAGUGGAGCCUGCGGCUUAAUUUGACUCAACACGGGAAAACUCACCAGGCCCGGACACCGGAAGGAUUGACAGAUUGAGAGCUCUUUCUUGAUUCGGUGGGUGGUGGUGCAUGGCCGUUCUUAGUUGGUGGAGCGAUUUGUCUGGUUAAUUCCGAUAACGAACGAGACUCUAGCCUACUAACUAGGCGUACCCGGUAUCCACAAUCGUGCUACCGGCGAUCAAAUUUCUUCUUAGAGGGACAGGCGGCUUCUAGCCGCACGAGACUGAGCAAUAACAGGUCUGUGAUGCCCUUAGAUGUCCUGGGCCGCACGCGCGCUACACUGAAGGAAUCAGCGUGUCUUCCCUGCCCGAAAGGGCCGGGUAACCCGCUGAACCUCCUUUGUGCUAGGGAUUGGGGCUUGCAAUUGUUCCCCAUGAACGAGGAAUUCCCAGUAAGCGCGAGUCAUAAGCUCGCGUUGAUUACG
This 1355-nucleotide ribosomal RNA is filed under the name Cenchrea dorsalis. Its description in RNAcentral is "SSU rRNA". It matches the Rfam family "Eukaryotic small subunit ribosomal RNA", at positions 386 to 1649 of the family's 1831-position model. The record is from RNAcentral. Lineage: Eukaryota; Metazoa; Arthropoda; Insecta; Hemiptera; Derbidae.